UUGCACAUUUUCUCGAAAUUUAUUGUGUUCUAAUCUUGAAUUUGUCCAAAAGAUUGGAUCUUUCAAGUUUAUGAUGUAUGGGUUUGUAAAUUGGAGCUCGUAGCAGCUGAAGGGAUCAUUUUUCUAUUACUCCAGUUUCACUCAUGGGCUGCACACUUAUCAGAUUUUACUGCAAAGAGGGCUAUCUUUCUUUCAAUUUCUUGCUCUGAAAGCACAGGUCAAGGUAUAAAGUAGGCCAAGUAAUCCUUUUGCCUUUUUGCCUUUAUUUUUUUGGAGCCAUUGUUUGGGUUAUUCAUUUUCUUUAGAAUUGGGAUCAAUAUAACUACAUGUAGUGAUUAAUCAUCUUAGGCUCACUUUUGCUGAAAAGUCUUUUUUCUUUUGGGAUUUUUGUUUCAGUUUCCAUAAUUUGUUGUUGUUCGAGAAAUCUUUUGUAGUUCAUAUUUAUGAUCAGCUGAGAAGUGAGAACCCUCUGGAAGCUACUUUAAAGUGAUGAAUUGCACUCUCUCUGUAAGGAAAUGCUAUUUGUUUACUCAAUUAGGGUGUUUUUGUAUUCAUAUACUAUGCAUAGGUUGUAUGUGUGUGUGUGGAUUUUUGAAGAAGAUAUAAUUGGCGUAAAAACUUUGACUUGUCUGCAUUUGAGCAAAACUUCAAAAGAAAUCUAAUAUAUUUGGUUUACAUUAAGCCUUUUAUGUCCAAAUGCAAUAUUUGCUUAGUGCUGAACUAUUAUGCAAAUGCAAGUUUUUGACUUGGCAUUCUUUACGGUUUACUUUUGCGAUAACGCCUGAUGAGGCUUAUUUUUCUGUUUACUAGUAAGUCAGGAUGUUAUGCUGCCCAUUUUUUUUUUUUUUUUUGUGAGAGUGUGUGUGUGUGUGUGGUUUUUUUCUUUUUAACUUCUUUAAAGGCUUUCCCUAUAAGCAAACAUUAGGGCCAGCUAUUUUCUUUUUUUUUUCUUUUCUUUUUUCAAUUAUUUGGAUUUCAAAGUUGAGGAGCCAAAUCGAGUAGUUGAAUUUGUGCGUCAUACUUCAUAGGCUCCACUUGGCAGAUUGCACCAGGUGAGUAGUACAGAAGAUUGGGAGUGUUGCCCUGUUUUCCCUCAAAUUCCUGGUUCUAAAUAAGCUUGAGCAAUCCUUUUUAUGCAAAACCCAAAAAUUGUGCUACCUUCCUGCUUCUCUGCUUCUCCCAUUUUUGUGCCAAACAUGAAGUUUCCUGAUAUUCUCUGUUAGUGACUUCCUUUUUUUGUUUGUUUUUAAGAUACUUUGAGUCAUUGUUGAUAGCUUUUUGAGCAUUGACACAAUUAUAUCUCUUAAACUUGCUUAUAAUUUUCUUUUGGAGGUCAGGAAGGUUAGGGAACGGUUGUUUUUGGUGUUUGUGUUGGAAACAUGAAGUAUAUUUAACUUCUUGUCAUGUCAAAGGUCCAAACAAUGACAAUGGAUAUCUCUGCUAGAUGUUGGACCUAAAGAUGGUUUGUCAUUGUUGCUUUAUGUUGUUUCAAAGUAUUCUGCAAUAGAUUCUCUUAGGAAAAAUCAUGUUGGUUUUCUUCUGGUUUAAGGCAGAAAGCCAUUAGGUUCGUUAUAACUAAUGUACAUAAUUUGAUGUAGGAAUUCUUCAUCUGAUGUUGCAGACUAUCUUGAUCACAUCUAAUGGAGCUUGUAAGCUGGGUGCAUUUGGUUUCACACCUACAGGUCACUCAUCCAGUGAUUCAGCUAAUGUGCGGGCUUUCCACUAUGCUGUGAGUGUAAAUUUUCAUAUCACAGUGAAAAACAGAAUAUAAUUGCACGUUUUUUUUAGUUCAUUUUUCUACUGCAUUUCUAGUUAUUGAAUUUGUGAAUUGAUAGCAUUUCUUUUAUCUGAAUCUUAUUGCUGUUAAGCAUGCUGCUGGACCUGCAUUAGCUUUUUGAUUUAUCAUGGAAAAUCUGUUGUUUGAAUAGUAGUAUCUUAAACAGAUUUGGUUGCUAAUUGGUUCUUGGAAAGGUUUAACACAAAUUUUCUUCAUAAAUUAGUGCUUGGAGCUCUAUCAAUGCUAUAUCUGAGCUCAAGUAUGAGCUAUAUAUGAAGAGGAGCCAGGCAGAUCCAUAUGGUUUCAUGUUACAUUAGAGUUAGAUCUAUGUUGUUGAUGAGUAAAGAAUAGAAAGAAGUGUUGUGGGAGGGGUUUUGGAAGGACCGAAGUGCAUGAUAUAUGUAGAUUUGGUGAGUAUGAUCCUCUUAACGUGCUGGACUAUUAUGUUAUCACCUUAGACUCAAUCAAGACAAGUACAUCGAAGAUUAGGGAUGACAACGCGACAGGUGCCUGCCUUGCAGGGGAAGGAAUGGGACGGGAGAUUUUUCUCCUCCUACUUUAAAUGGGGUGGGGGAGGAUACCAAUAUAUAUUUUGACAAAAGCUUUGUCCUUCAUAUCAUUCGAUUCUUUUGAGUCUCUUUUGAUUAGUAGACAGACAAAAGAAUAUAUCAGUUUUUUGGUUAGAACUUACUGUUAUACUAGCACCAAAUGUUCUUGACUGUGAUUGCAACAUCUCCAAUUAUGGGAAGUAAGGGGCCGCUUGGUUUGAGGGGUUUGGCAUGUGGAAUGACAAUAAUUCCAAUAUUUAGUGCUUGGUACACUGUAAUGGCAAUUGAAAUAUUGGAAUCAUACCCAAUUCAUGAUUCCCGACUAAAUUGGGAGGAAUCACUCAAAACCCUCAGCUCAUUUCCAACAGUGAAUAAAUAAAAGACAAAAUAUUUUGUUAAAAUACUUUCUUUCUCCCUCUCCCAGACUUCCACCAUCGAACCUCCCCUUCCUCUCUGCCUUCAACACCUCUCUCUCCCCCAUGGCAUCUGGCAAUUCCUCCCCUUUUUCUUAUUUUUCCCUCUUUAUCAGCAUUUGACAACACCCAAAUGGGCUUGCCGGCAGAAAAAUAGAUUCAAAUGGAAGAAAUCGAAGAGGAAGCCGCACCAGCAAACACCGACAAGUCAUCACCGUUAUUAUCUGAAUUCUCCCCGUAAGAUCCGUUGGCCCGAGGUCGAGGUCCACCUCUACAAGCUUGGCAAAGGACCCAUCAAUGUCUUCAAGUCCAGCCUUAGUGGGUGGGACCAAGACUAGUUGGAGGUCACCGAUUUUUUUCCUUUUCCAUGGCAUCUGACAAAAUCUCUCUUCUUCUCCCACGGCCGGUCACUUCCACCUCAUCCCAGUAGACCCUUUCUUCUCCUCCCUUGCCAUCAAAUCGUCCUCCUCAUUGCAAUCGUUCUCCACAAAUCGUUCAAAUCUUUUAUUGAUUAGUCAUGAGUUUUUGUUGAUAAUCGUUGAACCAAAAACAAAAAAGAUUUGGAUUGGUAGUGAUUUGAUGAUGGGCGUGAUUAUCAAUCCAAGAACAAUAAUUAAAAAAUAAAAAAUUAAUUUUGAUACCAUUCCAACUAUAUUUAUACCAAGCACUAGUCCGUGGAAUAAUACCAGGGGUUCAAACCCAUACUAAUUUUUUGUAUAUCAUUCCAUCUCCAAUACCAAUUCCAAAACAUGAACCAAGCACCCCCUAAGAGUGUCCAUAAGAUGGAUUAGUGAUGACUAGAGAACCAAUUUCUGGAUGGCAAACACCACAAGCCCUCUAACAGAGAUCAAUGGCAUAGGAUUGAUGAUUUCUUAAUAUGUUAGGAUCCUAACAUGCCCCACUAGGAUUAUACCGCUACAGUGCAAUUGACCGCGUUCCAAACCCAAAAAUGAAGCCCUGUAGCUGAUAAUCAAGUAAAACGUGUGGCUAAAUAAAAAUCAGGCUAAAUAUAGUGGCCACCUCUGGGGCAUUCGUUUUGUUAUAUGUGUAGAAAAAAUGAGGCUAAAUAAAAAAUACGAAAUAUUGUGGCCACCUCCGGGGCACUCGUGAGGAUUGUGGGGCUAGGGUGGGGGCGGAGGAAGCCGGGGAUUGGGCGGGAGCGGGGAAACUUUUAUAACAUGGGGCGAGGGACGAGGAGAGCUCUCCCGCCACAUUGCCAUCUCUAUUGAUGAUGUCAUAUAAGUGAUCCAACCUGUAGACACCCAACUUUCAACUAGUUCUGUGACGACCCCACCUUCCUCUAGGACGUACCCCAGGGUUUAGCGGACCGUCUGUCUAGCUUUCACCAGGCCUCACUCACUAUUUCGGAUAAUAUAAUUCACAACUUCUUAACGUAAAUAAAACAACAGUUGUCAAAUUUGAAACAUACAAAUACAUUCAUUUUUGUCUCAAACUUCCAUACAAUCCCAAAUACAUCAAAAGAUUGGAGUUCUAAAUACAUUCAACCCUAAUCGAGCGAUUAGUGUGAUUACAAUUAUAAAAUUUUCAAAAAUUAGACUACGCUAGUCUGUAUAAGUCUCACGCCUCGCUCGUACCCCCUGUAAGGAAAAGAAAACUAAUAAAGUGAGUUAAAACUCAGUGAGGUCUCAAAUAGCAAGUUGACCAAUAAGUACAAGUGACAACACCAUAAUAGUAAAGUAGCGAGCAUUAACAAAUCAAGAAAAUGAGCAAUAACACUUUGGAUGACCAAACAUUAAAUAUUCAGUAUUUCAUGUAAAAGGAUACAGUUGCUUUUGUAAACUAGUUCCACCAUAGCUUGAUCAUAUAGUAGUUGACACUCUGUCAACUUUCAAGUAAGGUAACUAGUCCUGUAGUACAUCAUUUAACUCUAAUCUCCGUCCACCAACCAAAUCCCUUACCGGACCCGAACUCCAAGAUAAACACUGAUAGUAAUACUCGAGUAUACCGAUUAGUCGAGAAGAUAACACUCCGCUCGACAAAAACUAAAGAUUUAGGGUUCGUUAUCGAAUCGGCUAAACCCUUGCCGGUUCGAUUCGAUUAACUAGCCACAAGGUUUCUGAAAUUUCAGACAAGAUACGAAUCAUAUUCAUAUACAUCAAGUCAAUUUCAAUCAAUGAACAAGAAUAUGACACAUUAGGGCAAGUGCGAUAAAGUACAUCCUUGCUCGAUCAAACCAAUUACAUAUUAUUCGAUCACAUUGGUCAACUAUUGAAAACAAGUAUUAAGUUCAAUCAGGUAUUUGGAAGCACCCACCAAAGAUUUAGUGCUUCUUCGGAUCACGUUCAGGUAUUACUCCUGAUUUGGAGUCCAAAUCGGCGAUAAAAUAUCGUUUCAGGUAUUACUCCUAGUUUAAGAGCUUUGAAAUCAACUAAAGUUCGAAACUUAAGCGUUUCAUUUAAUGAAAAACAAGUAAUUGAAACUCAUUUGGUUUCAUGUUCUAUAAAACUCAUGCUCGAUCUUUUAGUUUUGGUAAUAAAGUGAGUAAAAUUUUGAAAUUCCCAUUUGAGUCGAAAAGACGAGAAUAACGUAUUUUUAUUGAUCGUUACUUUCAUUUUUCUCAAGGGUACGAGUUUCGGCAAAAUUCCAAAUUAUAUAUAUCUACGAAAGUAGACUCGACUACCCUAAACAAAUCAAGUUUAAUUCGUCCUCAAAUCUUGGCCUAAGUCGCGAGUACACACGCCUAACUCUUGAGUGAAAAUUUGGGCGGUACGUCCUUUGUAUUUCGUUAUUUUUCAGCAAUUUAUGGCUUUAUUAUUUCCUCAAUUCAGCCCAAGGUCACGCAUAAGCAAUAUUAACACAAUAGCCUUUUAACUAAACUCAAAGUCAUCCAAUUACAAUACAAGUUUAGCAAUGCAACCGGAAACCAAUUUUAAAGACAAAGGCUAAACAGAAGGUUUGAUGUCUCUUGGCGUUUCGGUCACAACUGAAACUACACUUAUCGGUUUGAGGUAAAUUUUAUGGCGUUUUGAAUCUAAGACAGAGAAUUAUAUUUCCUAUGAAGGUAUCAACAUCUAGUUCGUGCAUUUUCAAGGUUAAAAUAUGCAAUCUCAGAGAAAACAGAAAACUAUCCUCGAAAAAGAGCAUUCGGCAGUCAAGGGUAUUUUAGUCAUUUCACACGUUAUGGUGCUCCGAUUGAGUUGAAAUUUUGCAGGCAGCUAGUUAACUCUAUUCCAUACAACUUUCAUGUUUUAAUUUAGACCUGAUUCAGCCUCUAUCAUACUCGGAUAUACAGGUCAGAAACAGGACAGUUUGGCCUACAAUUUUUGGAAUUUGAUGAUUCAAUACUUGAAAAUCACAUUUAUGUCUUGAAUCACUACUCCAAGUCCCUAUUUAAGUUCAUCAAUAUCAUAUACUAGAUAAAAACAAGAAUCACAACUGAAAAUACCAAAUCCUAGCUAAACAUUCCAUCAUAUCAUGUAAAACUCACUAAUUAACCAUCAUAAACCAAGAUUAAGAGCUUCUAUUCAAACUUUAGCAAAAUUGAGAAGAGAAAAAGGAAAGGCAGCCAUAAUACCUUUCAAGGCUGCUUGUAGGAGAAAAUCACAACCCUUCCUUCCAAAACUUUAUCACACAAAACUUCCUAAGUUUUCAAGUGAAAGUUUAAUUGAUUUAGAUUUUUGAUUCAACUCAAACAAGGUCAAAAAUCAAGAUUGGAAUUGAAGUGUUUCUUUCCUCUUUUCUCUCUUAAACUCUCGGCCACCUUGGAGGAUAAUGAGGAAGAAAUGAAGCUCAAGAAAAGAUAAGAAUGUUCGAAUUGGUUUGGUCAAACAAUCUUUGGAUGGUUGCCAAGUGUCGCCGCAAGAUUAAGUCCUUAAUUUUUCUUCUUUUUCCUUUCUUUUUGGUCAACAAUUUCGGCCCUCUCUGGGAUAAUCAAGAGCUGAUAUUUCUGAAAUAAUAGGUAAUAAAUUGGUAGUCAAGUAGUGUAUGCAAUCGGGUAAUGAAUGAUAUGCAUCGGUUCAAAUCGAUUUUCCUUGAAUCACGUGUAUUAGUGUUUUUAUUUAUGAUUCACUCACUUAUGAUUAUCACUUCUAAACAUACAUGAUGGGAUUUUUAUAUCAAUACAAGUUUAAAUCUGAUUUUAUACCUGUUGACUGUAAGUGUACAGGCCGAAAUCGUAAUGUAGGGUAUGUAUCAGGUCGAUCCCACGAGAAGCAAAUUAAACAAGUACUAGGUUCUUAUUUUUCUCUAUUAUUUAGACUUGCAAUAAAUCUAAGUAAGAAAAUUAUUAUGCUGCUAUUGUUUACAAAUAUGGUUUAAUUAAUGUUAAAUGCAAAUGGAGAAAUUUCACUAAAGAUUGAAUUUAGGGAUGUAGAUUUCACUUAUGGCAUAAACAACACAAAUGAAUAGAUUUGCCUCUUGUUAUUUUUCUUGUUUAAUCAGGGAUUCAUUUCCAAUAUUAUCAAAUCUCAUUCUCAUGAUGAAAUGGUUUAGAGUAAUAUAGGGUUUGUUUGGAUUGCUUCAUAUUUCCCCAAUUUUAUUUACUUACAUCAUCUUUACAAUUUCCAAUACACCUUUUUAUCUUCUCAAUAUCUUUUUAUCUCACAUACAUCACAUCACAAAAAGUGCUACAGUAAAAAUAUCUCAAAUAAUCCCAAAUAACUUACAAUCCAAACAGACCCAUAGUUUUCCCUAUUUUUAUGGUGAAAUACUAGUUCUACUCUGUUUUCCUUCAUGAAAUACUGGAAAAUCCACUCAAGUUUACAUCUAUUUUUAUGAACAUACAACUCAAGAUCAACUCAUGUUUUUUCAUUGUUACUAUCAAUUCCCAUUGACUAAUAACAACUAUGAACAUGCUAUUGGUGAUCAAACAACAAGAAGUAAUUACAACUGCACAAAUAGACAAGUUAAUACAAGAUAUAACAAGUGUAAAUCACAUUCAAUUCAUAUUAUUUAGCCAUAAGUUUCAUCUACUUCUUAGAUAAAGAAAAUUAGCUACUCAUGAAUGAAAUAAAAAUCAAACUCACAAGUUUAUUAAUGCAAAACAUCAUAAAGUACAACUACAAGAAAGAUAAAAGAAAGCUUAGCCAAUUAAUGGUGAAACCUUCAAAUUUCUGCUAUGUUCUUGUAUAAGAUGAUUAUAAGAUGAGUCUUCAAUUGUUUUCUCAAGAACUUCUAACUAGAGAGAAAAUGUUAUCAGAUGAAAAACUCCCUACGUAUGGCGUCCAGACCUCUUUUAAUGUCUCUGCAUAAAAACUGUUCAAGAGCUCCAUUUUUCCAAGUUAAAUUCCACCUUUUGAUUCCUAAAUCUCAACUUUGUUAGAAUAGUCAAUAACCAAUGUUUUUGACUUGAAAAUAAGUCACCUUUCUUGUCCUUUUGUCUUCUGAAGCAUGUGCACCGAGUUCCCUUGUAAUUUAUGGCUGGAAAGUAGUAUAAAUACAAGAGAAAUGGCUGAACAAAUUGCAGCUUUUCGGCUACAAAACGCGACUACACAAAACGCGGCAUAAACUCGCGUUUUGUUAACUUGGCCUUGCUUCAACUGCGAUUUUCUCUAUGGUGAAGGUCGAACUAGCUUUUGUGUAAAACACAAAAGUUGCAGCCCUUUGAGUUAGCUUUACAAUGCUUUAAAAAUCAUCCAAAUCGGAGUUUUGUAGCCAGAUAUAUGGUCGAAAUACUAUCGUCUGGUCAAACCCCUGUUUCGAUUUUUGACCAUAGAAUGCAGUUUCUGUAUUCCAACUUUUUGUCCAUGAAAACUGCAGAAUUGGAUUUUGAUGUCUUCAUAACAAUUGUAGGUCUCUUUCUUAUGUUUAAAAUGGUAUAAAGAUUACCUCAAUCCGAUAAGUGUAGUUCCAGAUAUAGUCGAAAUAUCGAAGAGUGUCAAAACUGUCUUGAAUUGCAUUUCCUCAUUUUGAACGUUUUUCACUUCAUUUCUCUUUUAAGCACUUGAAUUCAUCACCAAUUAUUUAUUUUUCAUCUCACUUGACAUUCUUUGGUGAUUGAAUCAUUAAACCUGCAUAAAAAUGAAGUUUUUAUCACUAAAAUCAAUAAAAAUGUAAUAACGGCCACUUUUACCAAAUAAUGUAUAUUUUUACUAAAAUCUAUUUAUUUUAGUUAUAAAACUAAAUAAUCAAAACCAAAAUCAACUAAUACAAUGCACUUAAAAAUAUGUAAAAUAAACUCUUAUCAAAUAUCCCCACACUUGAAUCAUUGAUUGUCCUCAAACAAUUAAAAACACUAACCAACAAUGAUUCCAAGAUUGAAAAUAAACAUACGUAGCAUUUCAACUUCAUUUCCUUGAAUCAAGGUAAAUAACCCUUAUGUGAUCUUUCAAUUAACUUCAAAUACUCAUAGUAUCAAACAAAGAAGAGCCUAGUAUGUGGCGACCCCACUUCUCCCUAAGGCAAACCAACGGGUUGGCGGGCCGCCUGUCCAACUCUCGCCAGGACUCACGCAAGCAUUCUAACCCAAAUUCUUUCGAAGAAUAAUCUAAUCUAUUACAAAACAAUUCUCCCGAAAAAGACCGUAACUAAAAUCACAUUAACUUCAGAGAUAGCAGUGAUUUAAAAUAGCCAAUCGAAGCUCUAAAACGUCCCACGUGCUACAUACAAGGUAUAAAGUCGUAUCAAUCCAGAUGGAUAAUUACAUACAUCACUAUUACAAACUUACAAGUCAAACACUCGAAUUAGGGUUUACACAUUUUCCAGUUUCAAGUGGCAAUCCAAAAUGAAAGUACAUAAUCUCAAUUAACGCAUUACAGCCCACAAAAUAAGUCUUAGUAUUCAAAUACAUUCCAAAAGGAAAACAUGAGUAAGUUUCAAAGCUUUCAACUUCCAGAGCCUGUUAAGAAAAACAAAUAAACGUGGGGUGAGCUAACGCUCAGUGGUGCCCAAAAACAUGCAAUCAUGUAAAUCAAACACCGAGUAAUAACUUAACCAAAUUGAACAGUUAGGAAAGCGUAUAACAGCACAAGGUAGGAUACAGGGGCUCUCAGGAGCCAUUUUCCUCGCUUAAUCACCAUUCAUCGUAGUUGACCCUCCGUCAACUCUCACUAUUUAUAGUCCAUGUAGAUCCACUCAUUUUUACUCAUAACCCGUCACCGUUCAUACCCCUGUCCCGGACCCGAACAACGACUAAGAACGCAGUAUACUCGAGAUAUACCCGUAGAUGAUUGAUCGAGGGAUUCACCCAACGACGUUAUUGUAGUAAGAUUCAUGCGUCGAAGGAUUCACCCAACGACGUUAUUGCGUUUAGAUUCAUGAGAAAAUGAUUCACGCAAGUCACCACUCGAACGGCUAAUGCGAUAAAGUACACACUGCUCACUUCGAUGCAUCAAAAACUAGUUUGCAAAUUAUCACAUAUUGAGUCAAGAAAGCACUUUAACCAAGUAAGCAUAGAACAAGCAGGGACACUCACCAAGAGUGAAGUUCAGAUGUCAAAUUGGGAAUCGAAUUUCGCGUCCUAGCAAUAUCCUAGAAUACCAAAUUUUGAAACUAUAAGUUUUUAUUCAGUUUUUAAGCUUAUACACAUCGAGAUUUAUCUAAUAUAUUACUAGUUUACUUUCCCAUAGUAAAUUCAAGAAUCUACUUAGGUUGAAGCUUGACAAAAGUAGUAGAAAUGUUUCUUAUAGUUUUCCUUGAGAUAUUUUUCCUUAUAAAAGGGUAACUAGUAUUAUUUUUUUGAAAUAAGUCGACAAACCUCUUAACAUCAAAGCUAGAAAGAUACCUUGAAAAUUUCUUUAAAGCUACGGUUCUUGCAAAAAUUAUCACUAAAACUGUUUUACCUAAAAUAAAGUUUCUUGCCGAGCAAGUUUCUACAUUUUUAAUUAAAGUUAUUAAAAUUCUUAUUUUGGAACUUUUCCUACCGACAACUAUCCAAGGGCAAAUUUUAAAGAAAGAAAAGGAAUUAAAAUAAGAUUUAGGGUUUUUAAAAGCUAGAGAAAUUAUUUUCUAUAACUAUCAAGGUUAGUUUGAACUAAAGGAAAAUUUCGAGUUGGCAAGGUUUAGAAAAUCCUUUCACGAAAUUUCUAACUUUAACCUUCAGUGCUAAGUUCUAUCGUACCAUACUAGAGUGAAGAUAUAUUUAAAUAGCUUGCUUAAAAACUUCUCAAGUUCACAGGACCAAAAUGAAUUCCUUACGAUUCCGAUUUACAAGCACAUAAUAUUUCAGAUUUGUCAAUAUGACCAACUCACAUUUCAAAUAGAAAUCUCACUAGGGUUUCGUCAAUCAUUAGCCCUAGGUUUCAACAGAUUCAAUUCUGAUCAAAAAUAAAACGAAUGACCAAGGUUUCGUCAAUCAUUAGCACUUGGUUUUGGCAAGCUCAUAUCACAUUUUAAUUAAAACAAAAUGAAGGUAAGACCUCCAAGAAAUUCCAGCAAUUAAAGUUCAUCAUCCUUUAAUAUUUAUAAAAUCAUUCAAAUGGCCAAGGGUUUCAUCAAUCAUUAGCCCUUAACAACCAUCAAUCACUUCCAACCACAAUUAAAUCAGGAAUUCAAAUCACAAUUAAGCUAAAUGUUCAAUCCAAGUCAAAAUUCAGUUUCAUGAAGAAACAGGACAUUCAAGCAGGACAGCCUACUUUGAGGAAUCAUGGACAGCAGUACACAUGGAGGAAAAAUAUGAAAUUUCUACAGAACCAAGGCUCAUGAUUCUAGUUUCAAAUGCCAUUGACGGCACCUUAAACGGAUUUUCCUACACCAAGAUAUAAGCAUUUUAUUGAGACUGGUCAGUGAAAUCCGAAAAUCUGAAGACUCAUUUUUCACUUGUGAAAAACUCCUUUUUCUCUUUUAACACCAUAAGGUUUUUAUUCAAACCAUCCAUACAUUUCUUAUAGAACUCUAAAACAACAUAUUUCAGACAUUUCCAACCAUUAUGUUUCAAAGAAAAAUUUUAAAACCAAGUUGAGAUUCCAACUCAACCUUCGGCUACCACAAAAGAAAUUCCAGCAUUUAUAUGCCAAUAUUUUUGGUUCAAUCUUUCAAUAUAUCCAAUAUUUUAUUGCUAAACAACUUACACAACUUAAAAUUUACAUCUCCUAUGUAUUUCUAAAUCAUUAUAUUCCAAGGGGAAAAAAAUAAAAUAAAAUAAAUUUCCAGAAACCAAUUAAAAUUUUCAAAGACAAACUGAAAAUUCUGGUUCAUAACCCUCGGCCAUCAAUACCUUUCCAGCACUUAGGGUUUUAUAAAUCCAACUUUUCCUUGGCUAAAACAUGAUUUUAGAUUCUCAAAUUCGUCAUGUGAACCUUUGGCUAGCUAAUUAACAUUUCUGGUUCAAAAUCGAAUUCGAAUAACAGUUUCAAACAUCCCAAAAGUCCAGAAAUCUGUCCAGCUAGUCACGGAUGAACAUGUAUGAAGAAACUUUCUGUUUUCAUUUUAUUUUCUUGGUUAAAACAUAGUAUUACUUACUCAAAUUUGACUUGUAAACACUUAGUUAACCGAUUAACAUUUCCAGCUCGAAAUUAAGUUCAAACAACUGUUAUAAUCCUCAAAAUUUUCAGGUUUAACUCACGGUAGUUCAGAAAAAAUUUUUUUAGAAAUUGUAUGUUCUUAAUCUAGCUUUUUCCUUGGCUAAAUCAGUAUUUUAGGAACUCAAAUUCAACAUGCAAAGCCUUAAUUGUAUUAAUCAUCCAAGUUUAAGUUAACUAAUCAUAAUCUUAGGUUUUGAUCAUCACAACAAAGCAGAUUACAUCAUGAAAUUCUUAAUCAAUUCUUGGUCAACUAUUUUCUUUUCAAAACAGAAUUUUCUUAUGCCUUAACAUCAUCAUCCGAGUCUAGAUUCCACAUGCAACACCCUAAUCAACUUAAUCUUUCACUUUUUAGUUAACUAAUCAUGAUCUCAACCUCAGGUUAUCAAAAUUGGAUAGAUUAGAAACUGCAUUACUUUGCUAAUCUCUCGGCCGAACUAUUUAGCCAUCCAGUUAGAUUUUUCUUUUUCUAAUGUCUCAUCCGAUGGUUUAAAAUCAACAUGCAAAGGUGGAACUAACUUAUUCAUCUUGUCUUAAGUUAGGGAGACGCAUCUUUAAGUUCAGAUUGUCACAGGGAUGCAAAAAUAAAGCUACAUUUCCAAACCAGUUCCUCGGCAAAAACAUUUUCAUCAAAACAGAAUUUUCUAGUGUCUUGAAUUUAUCAACCGAUUGCACAAGCAACACAUGCAGGCACUGAUAUGUCUUUAUCUAUUAGUAAUUAACCUAAUUUAGCCCAGCAAUUACCUCAGAUACAAGCUAAGCCUACGCACAAGAAGUCUGGAAUUUCUUUCUUCCUCUCGGCUCUCACGCACGGCUUGGAGGGUUGGUUGCGGUUGCAGUGGUUGCGGCUGAGAACUGGUUGCAGCUGGUGGAGAUGGAGGUGCAGAAUGGUGAAGCUCACUCACGAUUUUCUCCCUGGUUUCGCUCCAGCUCACGGCAGAACCAGAAAAUUUUGCAACUCACGGCUUCUUCUCUCAGUUCCUCUUUGUCGAUGAUAACGAGACAAAGAGGAAAUGUGGUUGUGGAGAGGAAGUGUUGUGGUCUGAGGGAAUUUUGUGCAGAGGAAAUGGAAUGGUGGUUUAUGAUAUAGGAACGAAGAGGUAGAGAUAUGGUGCCACGGUUUUGGAGAAGGGUUUGAGUGUAGGAAAUGGUUACAUAUAGAAUUGGUGAAAAUGUGAUUGGCCGAUUGGGGCGGUGAUUGAGAUGCUGUCAGAAGGAUUGUUUGGUUUUGCAUGAAAAUGUUGUGGUUGUAAGGCAUUUUAGUCUUUUCACUUUGCUUCCUAACCUCUACUUAAAUUCUCCAUUCUAAUUUUAAAACAAAAAAUUAUCCCCAAGUGUGAUUUGAACGCCUAAUUAUACACUAGUAUACUUAAACCAUUUUUUUAUCGAAUAUUUAUCGAUUAAAAAUUUAAUAUUAAGGUUCCUAGUAAUUCCUAACAUUAUUUAGCGAUUAAAUUAGUUAUCAGAAUUUUCAAUUAUUUAUUCUCAAGAGAUAGAGUUAGUCUAACUCGAAAUUUAUCAAUUUAGUAAUAUAAGGUCAAAUGAAAUAAUAAUUUAAUACAAGUGUGUCAGUUUGCACAUAAAAAUUAUUUUUACGUACUUAAUUGCGAACAAGCAAAAGUAAUGCUAGAAAUUAUUAAGAAAUAAAAGAAAUGCAAAUGAAAUAUGCACUGGCUUAUAUAUCUAUUUAGUCUAAUCUCCAAAUCGGCUAUGCGGUCGAACUGGGUAUCCACCAUGAUACUCAGCUCCUCCACAUCCUGGGUCAAGGUGUGGUUAGUGUCCCACAAGUGGCGGCGCUCAUCAUCAAGGGAUAACACCAAGGCGUUGGGAUACGCGUACGUGGCUCUACACUGGCAUCUAGGGUGGCUAUCAGCAGGUGGUAUCAGAGCCUAGGUUAGAAAAGUUAUUUGAAAGACAUAUUAGAUAUGUUAGAAACCCUAAUCCUCUCUAGGAAUAAGAAUUGAGACCAUUAGAUAUACCUUAAGUGAUAUCUGACCCAGUUAGCUAUUUAAGUUCUAACCCUUAAGUAUUGAUUAUUUUGCAGGUAUGGAGAAUGGUAAUGGACAUGUUAAUGGUAGUAGCGCGGCUAAUGGACAUGUAGAGCUGCUGAGAUCCAUUUCCUAUAGGCCUCGAGGUGGAGGAGACCGAGUUUGAUACUCACCUGCUGAUAGGCACCCUAGAUGCCAGUGUAGAGCCACGUAUGCGUAUUCCAACGCCUUGGUGUUAUUCCUUGAUGAUGAGCGCCGCCACUUGUGGGACACUAACCACACCUUGACCCAGGAUGUGGAGGAGCUGAGUAUCAUGAUGGAUACCCAGUUCGACCGCAUAGCCGAUUUGGAGAUUAGGCUAACUGCUGAGCAUAAUAUGCUGGAGGCCGCUCGUUUGGAGAUAGAGCGACAGAGGUUUAGGGUGACCCGACUAGCUGAGGGGAUCCGUGAUAGGAGUGCUGGCAUCAGGGCUGAUGCAGCUAUGCUUAUGGACGAGGCCACUAGUUACCUUCAGGGUAACGAGCAGGCAGGCGCAGAGGAGGAUCCGGCGGAGGACGUCGCCCCUGAUAGCCCUGCUGAGGGUUAGGUUAGGUUGACUUGAUAGUACUAGAUAUGUAGGAUCAGAAAAGGAAUAUUAGUCAAGUUAUCAAAUUUUGUCUAGGUGAAUGACUUGCUUCCGAGGCACCAUAUUCCUAAUUUUUGUUUAAGGGAUUAUCUGUAUAUAUUUUUCCUAACUUAUGUGCCUUAUUUUUGAAAAUGUUCCAACUUGUUAAUUGUAUAACUGUUCCGCAGAAAUAUAUGAUAAGUGUUUCAUUUCCUUUUCCUCCAUUUUCAUGUUGAUUUUAAUCACAUAAAGAAUAUUAAUAAUUGAAUAUAAAUAAAAUUUUGCUUAAUUGUCUUACUCUUCAGUAAUAGGCAUAAUUAGGCAAUGGGUCGUCAAGUAGUAGGAAGGAGCCGUGGGAGACCCACUAGACAACACCCGGAAGCGGGUGGUGAUAGGGAACCCGAGCUCAAUCGAGACCAAGGCAAGAGGGAGUGGCCGGAGAUCGAGUGGCCACCGCAAUUAACCGUAUCACUGACGUCCUAAAGCGUUUGACUGAACACCAACCCUCUGGACCAGUGCACCGCCAAGGAGGCCGAACCGAUUCCGAGGAUCAGGCACUGGAGAGGUUUUUGAAGUUUGGACCUCUUAAGUUCUACGGAGGACCCGAACCUGAGAUAGCUGAGGGAUGGUGGGAGAGAAUCUCCGACAUCUUCGCAGCUUUAAACUACACGGAAGAACGGCAGGUGACUUUCGCCGCAUUCCAGUUUGAGGGAGCUGCUCGCUCAUGGUGGAAUCUGGUUAGGAUUAACUGGGACAGGAAUCAUACUCCAAGAACUUGGGCAAACUUCACAAGAGAGUUCAAUGCCAAAUUCCUUCCACCUCUCAUUCAAGAGAAGAGAGAAGAUUUCAUUAGAUGCAAGCAAGGGGCGAUGAGUGUUGUCGAAUAUGAAGUCCAGUUCACAAAGCUAUCCCGCUUUGCACCUGAGUUGAUAACCACUGAGCAAAGGCGUGUCUGGAGGUUUGUGCAGGGUUUGAAUGUGGAACUACAGGAAGGUUUAGCCGCCGUGAGGAUAGAUACUUUUGCAGAUGCUGUCGAAAGAGCUCAGAGAGUUGAAGUAGCUAGAGCUCAAGUGAAAUCUUUUCAGGCUAAGAAAAGAUUUGCCCCCAACAGUAGUUGAGAGCCGACGUAUGGAAAUGUUCCACCGGCUAAAGUGGGCCGAGGAACAAGCGGAGUGACUAGUCCCGGAGCACCGCGAGGUGCACUAGCAAGAGGAACCGGGGCAAGGAAUGCAGGGGGAAGAAGCAAUGGAACUAGAGGGGGACCGAUUGGGAGAAGGACAACCUAGGAAUAACUCGCAGGGAGGUCGAGCAAUAAUUCCUCAAGUGACCUGUACUUAUUGCAAGAAACCUAGUCAUACUAUGGAUGGCUGCUGGAAGAAGCAAGGAAGGUGCUUGAGAUGCGGAAGUAGCGAGCACUAAAUUUCUGGAUGUCCAAAAAUACAGGAAGGGACUACUUCGAACGCUAGACCAAACACUUCUGGAGGGAGCCGGCCGACAGUUCCUGCCAGAGUGUAUGCUAUAGAUGACCAACCUGUACCUGAUUCCUCGGAAGUCGUGGAAGGUACUCUCCCCAUUUUUCAUCGAUUAGCUAAAGCGUUAAUUGACCCUGGUGCAACUCAUUCAUUCGUAAAUACAUCUUUUAUGUCUGGAAUAGAUGUGAAACCUGUUAGAUUAUCCUUCGAUCUUGAAGUUAGGACACCAAUGGGUAAUAAGAAGAUAAUCGCUAGCUUAGCCUAUAAGAAUUGUGAAUUCUGGAUUGGAGAGCGUAAAAUGCUAGUGGAUCUAAUCAGUUUGGACAUAAAAGGGUACGAUGUUAUCAUAGGAAUGGAUUUCCUACGCCAGUAUCAUGCUAAGCUUGAUUGCCGAGCGAAAGUGGUAGAAUUCUGUAUACCUGGAGAAGCAACCCUGAGGUUAGAUGUUAAGGGUAGGUUAGCAUCAUCUGCUAUGAUCUCAGGGAUACGGGCGAGGAAAAUGUUGUCAAAAGGAGCUCAAGGUUUCUUAGCCUUCUUGAUUAAUGCUCCCAGUGAUCAAGUGAAGUUAGAAGAUGUACUAGUGGUACGGGAAUUUCCGGAUGUUUUUUUCGAAGAGCUAAAGACUCUACCGCCGGAAAGAGAAGUGGAAUUUAAGAUUGACUUGGUGUCUGGAACAGCUCCAAUUUCUAAAACUCCGUACCGAAUGGCUCCUGCCGAGGUAAAGGAGUUGAAAAUUCAACUGCAAGAUCUCUUGGAGAAAGGUUUUGUGAAGGAGAGUGAUUCACCGUGGGAAGCACCCGUUCUAUUUGUUAAGAAAAAGGACGGAAGCUUGAGAUUAUGUAUCGAUUACCGAGGGUUAAAUGAGAUUACAAUUAAGAAUAAAUACCCUUUACCGUUGAUAGAUAGUUUGUUCGACCAACUGCAAGGGUCAGUAGUUUUCUCUAAACUGGACUUGAGGCAAGGGUAUUACCAGUUAAAGAUUAAAAAGGAGGAUAUACCCAAGAUUGCUUUUAGUACGAGAUAUGGACAUUCUGAGUUCGCAAUCAUGCCUUUUGGUUUAACUAAUGCACCAGCGGCAUUCAUGGAUUUAAUGCAGAGAGUCUUUAAGAAGUAUCUGGAUCAGUUUGUAGUGGUUUUCAUCGACGAUAUCUUGAUAUACUCUAAGACUCGAGAGGAACAUGUUAAGCACUUGGAGAUAGUCUUGUAAAUAUUAAGGGAGUAGAAGCUGUAUGCCAAAUUCAGCAAGUGCGAGUUUUGGCUGGAAGAAAUAUCUUUUCUAGGACAUAAAGUUUCCAAGGAGGGAAUUGCCGUGGAUCUGGCAAAAGUUGAGGCCGUUAUGAAUUGGAAGCAGCCGGAAAUUCCAACUGAAGUUAGAAGUUUCUUGGGAUUAGCAGGUUAUUAUAGGCGAUUUAUCAAGGAUUUUUCGAAAAUUGCUGGACCCAUGACCGAGCUAACCAAGAAAGGGAAUAGGUUCAUUUGGACUUCGAAGUGCGAGUCAAGUUUUCAGGAAUUAAAGAAGCGUUUAACAUCCGCUCCUGUUUUGGUGUUACCUGAUGGGAAAAAAGGUUAUGCCGUAUACUUCGAUGCUUCUGGAGAAGGUCUAGGAUGUGUUUUAAUGCAAAAUGGUAAAGUGAUUGCCUACGCUUCCAGGAGACUGAAACCUCACGAACAAAACUACCCAACUCAUGACUUAGAGUUAGCAGCAGUGAUUUUCGCCUUAAAGAAAUGGAGACACUACUUGUAUGGCGUGACUUUUGAGAUUUAUACGGACCAUAAGAGUCUCAAGUAUUUGUUCUCCCAGAAGGAACUAAAUUUGAGACAAAGGCGAUGGGUACAAUUUGUGGAAGAUUAUGACUGUUCAAUUAACUACCACCCAGGAAAAGCUAAUGUGAUAGCUGACGCUCUAAGUAGAAAGGCCCAAGUAGCAGGGUUAAUGGUUAAAGAGUGGGACAUGCUAGAAGAAAUAAGUGGUUGGAACCCUCGCUUGGAGAAACUGAAGAUAUUAUUUGGGAACUUAUCGUUAAAAUCACCAUUACUAGAGCGUAUUAAGGAGGCCCAGAAAAUGGACCCUAUGAUUCAGAAGAAUUUGGAGAAAGUGCAAAAAGGGGAAACCCUAGAUUUUAACUUAGGGUUUGAAGGUGUAUUGAGAUUCCGAAAUCGAAUUGUGAUUCCGGCAGAUGAAAAGAUAAGAAAAGAAAUUUUAGAAGAAUCACAUCGAUCGAAGUAUACCAUACAUCCAGGGGUGACUAAGAUGUAUCAUGAUGUGAAGGGAUUAUACUGGUGGGAAGGUUUGAAAAAGAACGUGGCCGAGUUUGUACAGAGAUGCUUGAUCUGCCAACAAGUAAAAGCUGAGCAUCAGAAGCCCUCUGGUUUAUUGCAACCGUUAGAAAUCCCUGAAUGGAAAUGGGAACAUAUAACAAUGGAUUUUGUAACGGGAUUGCCUAGAAGUCAAAAAGGAUUUGAUGCAAUUUGGGUAAUAGUUGACCGACUCACUAAAUCUGUACAUUUCCUACCCAUAAGCAUGAGUUUUUCUUUGGAAAAACUGGUCAAGUUGUACACAGAAGAGAUCCUAAGAUUACAUGGUAUCCCUGUAAGUAUCGUGUCUGAUCGAGACCCAAGGUUUGUCUCGCGUUUUUGGCAGAAAUUUCAGGAGUCUUUGGGGACCAAGUUGAAAUUUAGUACUGCUUACCAUCCCCAAACCGACGGGCAGGCGGAAAGAACAAUUCAAACUUUGGAGGAUCUGCUGAGAUCGUGUAUAUUGGAUUUUGGAGGUAAAUUGAGUAAUUAUAUGACCUUAAUAGAAUUUGCGUAUAACAACAGUUAUCAAACCUCAAUUCAAAUGGCACCUUAUGAAGCUUUGUAUGGGAGAAGGUGUCGAUCUCCGAUUAAUUGGGAUGAAAUAGGAGAGAAGAAGAUUGUAGAUCCAACAGCGAUACCUUGGAUAGAAGAAACCCAGGAGAAAGUGAAACUAAUUAGAGAAAGGCUUCAAACCGCUCAGAGUAGACAAAAGAGCGACGCCGACACAAGGAGGAAAGAUUUGGAAUUCGAAGUAGGAGACAAGGUCUUCCUAAGAAUUAAAUCCUUGAAGGGCGGAGUAGUGUCUAAGAAAGGUAAGAAGCUAAAGCCAAGGUAUAUCGGACCUUUCGAAAUUUUGAAGCGAGUUGGGAAUGUAGCAUAUCAGCUGAAGUUACCCGCAAGCAUGGCUAAGGUUCACGAUGUAUUUCACGUUUUCAUGCUUAAGAAAUAUUAUUCCGACCCAAGUCAUGUGCUGCCACUGGAGGGAAUUGAAGUGGAUGAGACGUUAACGUAUGAAGAAGGACUGGUCAAGAUUUUGGAAAGAAAAGUGAAGGAGCUGAGGAAUAAGAAAAUUCCUUUGGUAAAGAUUGUAUGGAGAAAUCAUGGACUUGAGGAAGCAACUUGGGAAUUGGAGGAGGAAAUGCAGAAAAAGUACCCUGAUUUAUUUCCUUAGAAUGUGUGAAUUUUGAGGACAAAAUUCUUUGUAAGGAGGGGAGGAUGUGAGAACCCUGAAAAUAGAUAUAUAAGCCAGUGCAUAUUUCAUUUGCAUUUCUUUUAUUCCUUAAUAAUUUCUAGCAUUACUUUUACUUGUUCGCAAUUAAGUACGUAAAAAUAAUUUUUAUGUGCAAACUGACACACUUGUAUUAAAUUAUUAUUUCAUUUGACCUUAUAUUAUUAAAUUGAUAAAUUUCGAGUUAGACUAACUCUAUCUCUUGAGAAUAAAUAAUUGGAAAUUCUGAUAACUAAUUUAAUCGCUAAAUAAUGUUAGGAAUUACUAGGAACCUUAAUAUUAAAUUUUUAAUCGAUAAAUAUUCGAUAAAAAAAAUAGUUUAAGUAUACUAGUGUAUAAUUAGGCGUUCAAAUCACACUUGGGGAUAAUUUUUGGUUUUAAGAUUAGAAUGGAGAAUUUAAGUAGAGGUUAGGAAGCAAAGUGAAAAGACUAAAAUGCCUUACAACCACAACAUUUUCAUGUAAAACCAAACAAUCCCUCUGACAGCAUCUCAAUCACCGCCCCAAUCGGCCAAUCACAUUUUCACCAAUUCUAUACGCAACCAUUUCCUACACUAAAACCCUUCUCCAAAAUCGCGGCACCAUAUCUUUACUUCUUCGUUCCUAUAUCACAAACCACCAUUCCAUUUCCUCUGCACAAAAUUUUCUCAGACCACAACACUUCCUCUCCACAACCACAUUUCCUCUUUGUCUCGUUAUCAUCGACAAAGAGGAACUGAGGGAAGAAGCCGUGAGCUGCAAAAUUUUCUGGUUCUGCCGUGAGUUGGAGCGAAACCAGGGAGAAAAUCGUGAGUGAGUUUCACCAUUCUGCACCUCCAUCUCCACCAGCUGCAACCAGCUCUCAGCCGCAACCACUGCAACCGCAACCAACCCUCCAAGCCGUGCGUGAGAGCCGAGAGGAAGAAAGAAAUUCCAGACUUCUUGUGCGUAGGCUUGGCUUGUAUCUGAGGUAAUUGCUGGGCUAAAUUAGGUUAAUUACUAAUAGAUAAAAACAUAUCAGAGCCUGCAUGUGUUGCUUGUGCAAUCGGUUGAUGAAUUCAAGACACUAGAAAAUUCUGUUUUGAUGAAAAUGUUUUUGCCGAGGAACUGGUUUGGAAAUGUAACUUUAUUUUUGCUUCCCUGUGACAAUCUGAACUUAAAGAUGUGUCUCCCUAACUUAAGACAAGAUGAAUAAGUUAGUUCCAGCUUUGCAUGUUGAUUUUAAACCAUCGGAUGAGACAUUAGAAAAAGAAAAAUCUAACUGGAUGGCUAAAUGGUUCGGCCGAGAGAUUAGCAAGGUAAUGCAGUUUCUAAUCUGUCCAAUUUUGAUAACCUGAGGUUGAGAUCAUGAUUAGUUAACUAAAAAGUGAAAGAUUAAGUUGAUAUGAGUGUUGCAUGUGGAAUCUAGACUCGGAUGAUGAUGUUAAGGCAUAAGAAAAUUCUGUUUUGAAAAGAAAAUGGUUGACCGAGAAUUGAUUAAGAAUUUCAUGAUGUAAUCUGCUUUGUUGUGAUGAUCAAAACCUGAGAUUAUGAUUAGUUAACUUAAACUUGGAUGAUUAAUACAAUUAAGGCUUUGCAUGUUGAAUUUGAGUUCCUAAAAUGCUGAUUUAACCAAGGAAAAAGCUAGAUUAAGAACAUACAAUUUCUGGAAAAUUUUUUUUGUGAACUACCGUGAGUUAAACUUGGAAAUUUUGAGGAUUAUAACAGUUGUUUGAACUUAAUUUCGAGCUGGAAAUGUUAAUCGGUUAACUAAGUGUUUACAAGUCAAAUUUGAGUAAGUAAUACUAUGUUUUAAUCAAGAAAAUAAAAUAAAAACAGAAAGUUUCUUCAUACAUGUUCAUCCGUGACUAGCUGGACAGAUUUCUGAAUUUUUGGGAUGUUUGAAGCUGUUAUUCGAAUUCGAUUUUGAACCAGAAAUGUUAAUUAGCUAGCCAAAGGUUCACAUGACGAAUUUGAGAAUCUAAAAUCAUGUUUUAGCCAAGGAAAAGUUGGAUUUAUAAAACCCUAAGUGCUGGAAAGGUAUUGAUGGCCGAGGGUUAUGAACCAGAAUUUUCAGUUUGUCUUUGAAAAUUUUAAUUGGUUUCUGGAAUUUUAUUUUAUUUUAUUUUUUUCCCGUUGGAAUAUAAUGGUUUAGAAAUACAUAGGAGAUGUAAAUUUUAAGUUGUGUAAGUUGUUUAGCAAUAAAAUAUUGGAUAUAUUGAAAGAUUGAACAAAAAAUGUUGGCAUAUAAAUGCUGGAAUUUCUUUUGUGAUAGCUGAAGGUUGAGUUGGAAUCUCAGCUUGGUUUUGAAAUUUUUCUUUGAAACAUAAUGGUUGGAAAUGCCUGAAAUAUGUUGUUUUAGAGUUCUAUAAGAAAUGUAUGGAUGGUUUGAAUAAAAAUCUUAUGGUGUUAAAUGAGAAAAAGGAGUUUUUCACAAGUGAAAAAUGAGUCUUCAGAUUUUCGGAUUUCACUGACCAGUCUCAGUAAAAUACUUAUAUCUUGGUGUAGGAAAAUCCGUUUAAGGUGCCGUCAGUGGCAUUUGAAACUAGAAUCAUGGGCCUUUGUUCUGUAGAAAUUUCAUAUUUUUCCUCCAUGUGUACUGCUGUCCGUGACUCCUCAAAGUAGGCUGUCCUGCUUAAAUGUCCUGUUUCUUCAUGAAACUGAAUUUUGACUUGAAUCGAACAUUUAGCUUAAUUGUGAUUUGAAUUCCUGAUUGAAUUAUGGUUGGAAGUGAUUGAUGGUUGUCAAGGGCUAAUGAUUGAUGAAGCCCUUGGCCAUUUGAAUGAUUUUAUAAAUAUUAAAGGAUGAUGAACUUUAAUUGCUGGAAUUUCUUGGAGGCGUUACCUUCAUUUUGUUUUAGUUAAGAUGUGAUAUGAGAUUGCCAAAAUCAAGUGCUAAUGAUUGACGAAACCUUGGUCAUUCGUUUUAUUCUUGAUCAGAAUUGAAUCUGUUGAAACCUAGGGCUAAUGAUUGACGAAACUCUAGUGAAAUUUCUAUUUGAAAUGUGAGUUGGUCAUAUUGACAAAUAUGAAAUAUUAUGUGCUUGUAAAUCGGAAUCGUAAGGAAUUUAUUUUGGUCCUGUGAACUUGAGAAGUUUUUAAGCAAGCUAUUUAAAUAUAUCUUCACUCUAAUAUGGUACGAUAGAACUUAGCACUGAAGGUUAAAGUUAGAAAUUUCGUGUAGGAAUUUUCUAAACCUUGCCAACUCGAAAUUUUCCUUCAACUCGAACUAACCUUAAUAGUUAUAGAAAAUAAUUUCUCUAACUUUUGAAAACCCUAAGUCUUAUUUUAAUUUCUUUUCUUUCUUUAAAAUUUGCCCUUGGAUAGUUGUCGGUAGGAAAGGUUCCAAAAUAAGAAUUUUAAUAACUUUAAUUAAAAAUGAAAAAACUUGCUCGACAAGAAACUUUAUUUUAGGUAAAAUAGUUUUAGUGAUAAUUUUUGCAAGAACCGUAGCUUUAAAGAAAUUUUCAAGAUAUCUUUCUAACUUUGAUGUUAAGAGGUUUGUCGACUUAUUUCAAGAAAAUAAUACUAGUUACCCUUUUAUAAGGAAAAAUAUCUCAAGGAAAACUAUAAGAAAUAUUUCUACUACUUUUGUCAAGUUUCAACCUAAGUAGAUUCUUGAAUUUACUAUGAGAAAGUAAACUAGUAAUAUAUUAGAUAAAUCUUGAUGUGUAUAAGCUUAAAAACUGAAUAGAAACUUAUAGUUUCAAAAUUUGGUAUUCUAGGAUAUUGCGAGGACGCGGAAUUCGAUUCCCAAUUUGACAUCUGAACUUCAC
RNAcentral lists this long non-coding RNA (23476 nucleotides) under Coffea arabica (coffee). RNAcentral's name for it is "long non-coding RNA (CARA_LNC007315)". Lineage: Eukaryota; Viridiplantae; Streptophyta; Magnoliopsida; Gentianales; Rubiaceae. The record is from RNAcentral.